This 253-nucleotide ribosomal RNA is filed under the name uncultured bacterium. RNAcentral's name for it is "partial 16S ribosomal RNA". It matches the Rfam family "Bacterial small subunit ribosomal RNA", at positions 524 to 776 of the family's 1533-position model. The record is from RNAcentral.
CACGUAGGGCGCGAGCGUUGUCCGGAAUUAUUGGGCGUAAAGAGCUCGUAGGCGGCUUGUCGCGUCGUCCGUGAAAACCCACAGCUCAACUGUGGGCUUGCGGUCGAUACGGGCAGGCUAGAGUUCGGUAGGGGAGACUGGAAUUCCUGGUGUAGCGGUGAAAUGCGCAGAUAUCAGGAGGAACACCGGUGGCGAAGGCGGGUCUCUGGGCCGAUACUGACGCUGAGGAGCGAAAGCAUGGGUAGCGAACAGG